UGGAAAGCCCCCAUCUAUGGAGAAUUUGGGGUGAAGCUGGAACAGGCUCCUGUCUCUCCUAGCAUCAACAGCAGGAAGGAACAGCUGGUGUAACCUGGGUAUGAGCACAAGAAACAAAGCUGAAAUGAAAGAAACAGCAAAAUCCAGAGCUGCACUGGGAUCUCCACUUCUGCUCCCUCACACAAAAGAAUCCUGGGCUGCACCAAGGUGAGGCCUUUCCUCCUACUGAGCA
RNAcentral lists this long non-coding RNA (232 nucleotides) under Fukomys damarensis (Damara mole-rat). Its description in RNAcentral is "lncRNA (ENSFDAG00000027537.1)". The record is from RNAcentral. Lineage: Eukaryota; Metazoa; Chordata; Mammalia; Rodentia; Bathyergidae.